UACGUAGGGGGCAAGCGUUGUCCGGAUUUAUUGGGCGUAAAGAGCGUGUAGGCGGCUUUGCAAGUCCGUUGUGAAAACUCGAGGCUCAACCUCGAGACGCCGGUGGAAACUGCAAAGCUAGAGUCCGGAAGAGGAGAGUGGAAUUCCUGGUGUAGCGGUGAAAUGCGCAGAUAUCAGGAGGAACACCCAUGGCGAAGGCAGCUAACUGGGCAUUAUCUGACGCUGAGGCGCGAAAGCGUGGGUAGCAAACAGG
This 253-nucleotide ribosomal RNA is filed under the name uncultured bacterium. Its description in RNAcentral is "partial 16S ribosomal RNA". It matches the Rfam family "Bacterial small subunit ribosomal RNA", at positions 524 to 776 of the family's 1533-position model. The record is from RNAcentral.